RNAcentral lists this ribosomal RNA (2931 nucleotides) under Escherichia coli. RNAcentral describes it as "23S ribosomal RNA". It matches the Rfam family "Bacterial large subunit ribosomal RNA". Lineage: Bacteria; Pseudomonadati; Pseudomonadota; Gammaproteobacteria; Enterobacterales; Enterobacteriaceae. The record is from RNAcentral.
GGGUUGUGAGGUUAAGCGACUAAGCGUACACGGUGGAUGCCCUGGCAGUCAGAGGCGAUGAAGGACGUGCUAAUCUGCGAUAAGCGUCGGUAAGGUGAUAUGAACCGUUAUAACCGGCGAUUUCCGAAUGGGGAAACCCAGUGUGWUUCGWCACACUAUCAUUAACUGAAUCCAUAGGUUAAUGAGGCGAACCGGGGGAACUGAAACAUCUAAGUACCCCGAGGAAAAGAAAUCAACCGAGAUUCCCCCAGUAGCGGCGAGCGAACGGGGAGCAGCCCAGAGCCUGAAUCAGUGUGUGUGUUAGUGGAAGCGUCUGGAAAGGCGCGCGAUACAGGGUGACAGCCCCGUACACAAAAAUGCACAURCUGUGAGCUCGAUGAGUAGGGCGGGACACGUGGUAUCCUGUCUGAAUAUGGGGGGACCAUCCUCCAAGGCUAAAUACUCCUGACUGACCGAUAGUGAACCAGUACCGUGAGGGAAAGGCGAAAAGAACCCCGGCGAGGGGAGUGAAAAAGAACCUGAAACCGUGUACGUACAAGCAGUGGGAGCACGCUUAGGCGUGUGACUGCGUACCUUUUGUAUAAUGGGUCAGCGACUUAUAUUCUGUAGCAAGGUUAACCGAAUAGGGGAGCCGAAGGGAAACCGAGUCUUAACUGGGCGUUAAGUUGCAGGGUAUAGACCCGAAACCCGGUGAUCUAGCCAUGGGCAGGUUGAAGGUUGGGUAACACUAACUGGAGGACCGAACCGACUAAUGUUGAAAAAUUAGCGGAUGACUUGUGGCUGGGGGUGAAAGGCCAAUCAAACCGGGAGAUAGCUGGUUCUCCCCGAAAGCUAUUUAGGUAGCGCCUCGUGAAUUCAUCUCCGGGGGUAGAGCACUGUUUCGGCAAGGGGGUCAUCCCGACUUACCAACCCGAUGCAAACUGCGAAUACCGGAGAAUGUUAUCACGGGAGACACACGGCGGGUGCUAACGUCCGUCGUGAAGAGGGAAACAACCCAGACCGCCAGCUAAGGUCCCAAAGUCAUGGUUAAGUGGGAAACGAUGUGGGAAGGCCCAGACAGCCAGGAUGUUGGCUUAGAAGCAGCCAUCAUUUAAAGAAAGCGUAAUAGCUCACUGGUCGAGUCGGCCUGCGCGGAAGAUGUAACGGGGCUAAACCAUGCACCGAAGCUGCGGCAGCGACGCUUAUGCGUUGUUGGGUAGGGGAGCGUUCUGUAAGCCUGYGAAGGUGURCUGUGAGGYAUGCUGGAGGUAUCAGAAGUGCGAAUGCUGACAUAAGUAACGAUAAAGCGGGUGAAAAGCCCGCUCGCCGGAAGACCAAGGGUUCCUGUCCAACGUUAAUCGGGGCAGGGUGAGUCGACCCCUAAGGCGAGGCCGAAAGGCGUAGUCGAUGGGAAACAGGUUAAUAUUCCUGUACUUGGUGUUACUGCGAAGGGGGGACGGAGAAGGCUAUGUUGGCCGGGCGACGGUUGUCCCGGUUUAAGCGUGUAGGCUGGUUUUCCAGGCAAAUCCGGAAAAUCAAGGCUGAGGCGUGAUGACGAGGCACUACGGUGCUGAAGCAACAAAUGCCCUGCUUCCAGGAAAAGCCUCUAAGCAUCAGGUAACAUCAAAUCGUACCCCAAACCGACACAGGUGGUCAGGUAGAGAAUACCAAGGCGCUUGAGAGAACUCGGGUGAAGGAACUAGGCAAAAUGGUGCCGUAACUUCGGGAGAAGGCACGCUGAUAUGUAGGUGAAGUCCCUCGCGGAUGGAGCUGAAAUCAGUCGAAGAUACCAGCUGGCUGCAACUGUUUAUUAAAAACACAGCACUGUGCAAACACGAAAGUGGACGUAUACGGUGUGACGCCUGCCCGGUGCCGGAAGGUUAAUUGAUGGGGUYAGCGCAAGCGAAGCUCUUGAUCGAAGCCCCGGUAAACGGCGGCCGUAACUAUAACGGUCCUAAGGUAGCGAAAUUCCUUGUCGGGUAAGUUCCGACCUGCACGAAUGGCGUAAUGAUGGCCAGGCUGUCUCCACCCGAGACUCAGUGAAAUUGAACUCGCUGUGAAGAUGCAGUGUACCCGCGGCAAGACGGAAAGACCCCGUGAACCUUUACUAUAGCUUGACACUGAACAUUGAGCCUUGAUGUGUAGGAUAGGUGGGAGGCUUKGAAGUGUGGACGCCAGUCUGCAUGGAGCCGACCUUGAAAUACCACCCUUUAAUGUUUGAUGUUCUAACGUKGACCCGURAUCCGGGUUGCGGACAGUGUCUGGUGGGUAGUUUGACUGGGGCGGUCUCCUCCUAAAGAGUAACGGAGGAGCACGAAGGUUGGCUAAUCCUGGUCGGACAUCAGGAGGUUAGUGCAAUGGCAUAAGCCAGCUUGACUGCGAGCGUGACGGCGCGAGCAGGUGCGAAAGCAGGUCAUAGUGAUCCGGUGGUUCUGAAUGGAAGGGCCAUCGCUCAACGGAUAAAAGGUACUCCGGGGAUAACAGGCUGAUACCGCCCAAGAGUUCAUAUCGACGGCGGUGUUUGGCACCUCGAUGUCGGCUCAUCACAUCCUGGGGCUGAAGUAGGUCCCAAGGGUAUGGCUGUUCGCCAUUUAAAGUGGUACGCGAGCUGGGUUUAGAACGUCGUGAGACAGUUCGGUCCCUAUCUGCCGUGGGCGCUGGAGAACUGAGGGGGGCUGCUCCUAGUACGAGAGGACCGGAGUGGACGCAUCACUGGUGUUCGGGUUGUCAUGCCAAUGGCACUGCCCGGUAGCUAAAUGCGGAAGAGAUAAGUGCUGAAAGCAUCUAAGCACGAAACUUGCCCCGAGAUGAGUUCUCCCUGACUCCUUGAGAGUCCUGAAGGAACGUUGAAGACGACGACGUUGAUAGGCCGGGUGUGUAAGCGCAGCGAUGCGUUGAGCUAACCGGUACUAAUGAACCGUGAGGCUUAACCUUACAACGCCGAAGGUGUUU